RNAcentral lists this ribosomal RNA (305 nucleotides) under uncultured bacterium. RNAcentral describes it as "partial 16S ribosomal RNA". It matches the Rfam family "Bacterial small subunit ribosomal RNA", at positions 506 to 807 of the family's 1533-position model. The record is from RNAcentral.
ACAGCAGCAGCCACGGUAAUACGGAGGAUCCAAGCGUUAUCCGGAAUCAUUGGGUUUAAAGGGUCCGUAGGCGGUCUUGUAAGUCAGUGGUGAAAGCCCAUCGCUCAACGGUGGAACGGCCAUUGAUACUGCAGGACUUGAAUUAUUGGGAAGUAACUAGAAUAUGUAGUGUAGCGGUGAAAUGCUUAGAGAUUACAUGGAAUACCAAUUGCGAAGGCAGGUUACUACCAAUUGAUUGACGCUGAUGGACGAAAGCGUGGGUAGCGAACAGGAUUAGAUACCCGUGUAGUCCCUGUCUCUUAUAC